Molecule: ribosomal RNA, 430 nt
Filed under: Pseudomonadota bacterium
Lineage: Bacteria; Pseudomonadati; Pseudomonadota
Description: Proteobacteria bacterium partial 16S ribosomal RNA
Rfam family: Bacterial small subunit ribosomal RNA
Source: RNAcentral
UGGGGAAUAUUGGACAAUGGGCGAAAGCCUGAUCCAGCCAUGCCGCGUGUGUGAAGAAGGCCUUAUGGUUGUAAAGCACUUUAAGCGAGGAGGAGGCUACUUUAGUUAAUACCUAGAGAUAGUGGACGUUACUCGCAGAAUAAGCACCGGCUAACUCUGUGCCAGCAGCCGCGGUAAUACAGAGGGUGCAAGCGUUAAUCGGAUUUACUGGGCGUAAAGCGUGCGUAGGCGGCUAAUUGAGUCGGAUGUGAAAUCCCCGAGCUUAACUUGGGAAUUGCAUUCGAUACUGGUUAGCUAGAGUGUGGGAGAGGAUGGUAGAAUUCCAGGUGUAGCGGUGAAAUGCGUAGAGAUCUGGAGGAAUACCGAUGGCGAAGGCAGCCAUCUGGCCUAACACUGACGCUGAGGUACGAAAGCAUGGGGAGCAAACAGG